Molecule: ribosomal RNA, 253 nt
Filed under: uncultured Gemmata sp.
Lineage: Bacteria; Pseudomonadati; Planctomycetota; Planctomycetia; Gemmatales; Gemmataceae
Description: partial 16S ribosomal RNA
Rfam family: Bacterial small subunit ribosomal RNA
Source: RNAcentral
GACGAACCGUGCGAACGUUGUUCGGAAUCACUGGGCUUAAAGGGCGCGUAGGCGGCUUGCCAAGUCCGGGGUGAAAUCCUGCAGCUUAACUGUAGAAGGGCCUUGGAUACUGGCGAGCUCGAGGGAGGUAGGGGUGCGUGGAACUUCUGGUGGAGCGGUGAAAUGCGUUGAUAUCAGAAGGAACGCCGGGGGCGAAAGCGACGCACUGGAUCUCUUCUGACGCUGAGGCGCGAAAGCUAGGGGAGCAAACGGG